This 1167-nucleotide ribosomal RNA is filed under the name Escherichia coli. Its description in RNAcentral is "partial 23S ribosomal RNA". It matches the Rfam family "Bacterial large subunit ribosomal RNA", at positions 323 to 1497 of the family's 2925-position model. Lineage: Bacteria; Pseudomonadati; Pseudomonadota; Gammaproteobacteria; Enterobacterales; Enterobacteriaceae. The record is from RNAcentral.
UGUGUGUUAGUGGAAGCGUCUGGAAAGGCGCGCGAUACAGGGUGACAGCCCCGUACACAAAAAUGCACAUGCUGUGAGCUCGAUGAGUAGGGCGGGACACGUGGUAUCCUGUCUGAAUAUGGGGGGACCAUCCUCCAAGGCUAAAUACUCCUGACUGACCGAUAGUGAACCAGUACCGUGAGGGAAAGGCGAAAAGAACCCCGGCGAGGGGAGUGAAAAAGAACCUGAAACCGUGUACGUACAAGCAGUGGGAGCACGCUUAGGCGUGUGACUGCGUACCUUUUGUAUAAUGGGUCAGCGACUUAUAUUCUGUAGCAAGGUUAACCGAAUAGGGGAGCCGAAGGGAAACCGAGUCUUAACUGGGCGUUAAGUUGCAGGGUAUAGACCCGAAACCCGGUGAUCUAGCCAUGGGCAGGUUGAAGGUUGGGUAACACUAACUGGAGGACCGAACCGACUAAUGUUGAAAAAUUAGCGGAUGACUUGUGGCUGGGGGUGAAAGGCCAAUCAAACCGGGAGAUAGCUGGUUCUCCCCGAAAGCUAUUUAGGUAGCGCCUCGUGAAUUCAUCUCCGGGGGUAGAGCACUGUUUCGGCAAGGGGGUCAUCCCGACUUACCAACCCGAUGCAAACUGCGAAUACCGGAGAAUGUUAUCACGGGAGACACACGGCGGGUGCUAACGUCCGUCGUGAAGAGGGAAACAACCCAGACCGCCAGCUAAGGUCCCAAAGUCAUGGUUAAGUGGGAAACGAUGUGGGAAGGCCCAGACAGCCAGGAUGUUGGCUUAGAAGCAGCCAUCAUUUAAAGAAAGCGUAAUAGCUCACUGGUCGAGUCGGCCUGCGCGGAAGAUGUAACGGGGCUAAACCAUGCACCGAAGCUGCGGCAGCGACGCUUAUGCGUUGUUGGGUAGGGGAGCGUUCUGUAAGCCUGUGAAGGUGUGCUGUGAGGCAUGCUGGAGGUAUCAGAAGUGCGAAUGCUGACAUAAGUAACGAUAAAGCGGGUGAAAAGCCCGCUCGCCGGAAGACCAAGGGUUCCUGUCCAACGUUAAUCGGGGCAGGGUGAGUCGACCCCUAAGGCGAGGCCGAAAGGCGUAGUCGAUGGGAAACAGGUUAAUAUUCCUGUACUUGGUGUUACUGCGAAGGGGGGACGGAGAAGGCUAUGUUGGCCGGGCG